Molecule: unclassified non-coding RNA, 734 nt
Filed under: Bombus terrestris (buff-tailed bumblebee)
Lineage: Eukaryota; Metazoa; Arthropoda; Insecta; Hymenoptera; Apidae
Description: misc RNA ENSBTSG00005035134.1
Source: RNAcentral
AACACUUUGUUCUCUAUGUUGCUGAUUCGCAGCAUCUGAAUGAAACUUUGUCUGGAGCAGAUCCGUGAAACUAAUAUUAAGCUUUCAUGUGAAGUACGUACUCGGUGUAGUGGCCGACGACAUUAUUUCAAUGCAUAACAUAAAACAGUCUUACGUAUAUAUUGUACAUGUUAUGUAAAAUAUUUUGAAAUUUCGUUAACGCUAUAAUGAAGCACGAUCGUCGUGACGAUGUUGGACACGCCACGGAUUGCAUAAAAAACACAUUUCAGAAAUAUCGGAUAAUCUUGGACCAAGUCGAAAUCGUACAACUCAAAAUCCUUGAAACUCAAAGUACCCUUGAGUGUCACGAACGGAUUUUGGAUUAUCCAAGAAACGGCGAAUUGCGACAUGCACAAUACGAAGGCCAUUGAACCAGUUAAGAACUAGUUAAAACCUAAAGACUUUGUAAUCAUCGACCCUGACAUCAUGAACUUGCAACAGACCAACCACCUAAAAGUUGUGGAACUAUGGCUACCUCGAUUGACAUUAUGGAUUACAGAUUAAUCAAAAAUCCAUGAUUCUGAUUCAUAAUUUUGAAGACAAGAUCGAUUACAACACAGCCCAAAGCGAAGGGACAUCGAAGCGUUCGACUCUAAUAAUAAAAAGUUGAGAUUUAUCAGGGAAAUUAUUUUAGAAUUGUGGAGGAACCUUCAGGGGGUCAUUGUUUCAAGGUUUCUGAAUUGUCAACGUCUGUG